This is a long non-coding RNA of Heterocephalus glaber (naked mole-rat), 4775 nucleotides long. RefSeq lists it as uncharacterized. The record is from RefSeq and is a predicted model, not a curated record. Lineage: Eukaryota; Metazoa; Chordata; Mammalia; Rodentia; Bathyergidae.
CGGGGCUGCGUCACCAGGGUAAGGACGCAGACACAGUGGUUUCGAUGCUGCUCCAGGGCACUCUCAAGGGAUGCUAGCUGCCUCCUGCCUGUUCUUGGGGUGAUGUCUGUUAUCCCCCAGCACUCCAGCCUGUUUUGUCCAGCUGGUCCCUGGAGCUCGGACACGGUGGGAGGACGCAGGCCGGGCUUCUCCAGGCCUGACAAGAGGAGACAGAGACUCGCUCCAGCUGGGACUUCCUAGCCCUUGGGCCCCCAGAGCUUCGCCGUCACCAGGGAAUUUCUCCUUACGGUGUGUAUGUUUGAUUGGAAGGAGAACUGGGAAAAUUUCAACGCUGCAAAGCCACUGGGGAAGGCACUAAGGGUACUAAGCCGCCUUCUCUUUCCACUAAUGAGGCCUGGUUUCUAAAAGAAUACAAGAGAGCAUAAUUUAGCUUAUUUGGGACUUGUUAGACUGCAAAUGAAUACUUGGUGAAGUCAUCAAAAUAUAUAUUAUCCCCCUUAUCAAAUAGCUGGAGAUGGGAAUUUUCAGGGUUGACAGAAGAACUCAGCAAGUUUGGGGCUCUGGGCUGGUGUUUCUAUAAUUCUUUAGACCUUUUCUUCAUGGUUGCAAUGUGGCUGCAGCAGCACCAGGAAUCACAUUCAUUCUUGAUAUGUCUCAUAUUAGGAAGAGAAGAGGCAAAAAUGCAAGAUUCUUUUCUUUGAUCAUGGAGUUUGCUGUUACCAACCUUUCUUGGUUGUAUGCCAGAUGGUGUCACACUUCCUUUCUCAGGUCAAUCAUUGGCAAGGUGGGUUAACCAUCUUGGCUUCAACUAUUCACAAUUAGUUCACCAACUGAAACUAGAGCUAGUCUGGAUCUGUUUAUAAGGAAGAGGAGAUGAGGCAUCCUCAGUUCAGGUUAGCAAAUGCCAGACACCACACGAGGUGCAGGAAAUGGAGAGGCCCCUGGGCCUGCUCGAAGGAGCUUAAAGCUUUCUGGGCACACAGGCAGGAAACGGAAAUUUAGCGGGUCACAGGCUGUCCCAGGGUAGUACCCGGGGAGAGUAGACAGGCCGAGGGCAGCCAGGGAGGGCUGUGUGGGUGACGCUGAGUCAGGCGGCUCCUGCAGAGAGAGGCUGACACCGUGCCUGGCACUGGGGGUGGAGACAGGGGUGAUGACGGCUCUGGACAGAGGGGAAGAGCUGCGCGCCACUCAUCAUGUGUAAGGGAUCACAAGUGUAGCAGAGAGCAGAGCCUGCCAACAGAGGGCAGGGAGCUGGGCUCUGGAGUUUGGGCGCCACCCCGAGGGCCCCGAGAAGCCAUCAAGCAAGGGAGCAACUUGGGAGACACAGACAGACAGGAUGGGCAACGGCAGGAGUUCAUCUGCAUCCGGGAACCGUACCGUGCAGGCCCGGUAUGAGACCACAGGACCCCUCCUCCCGAGGCCCUCAGCCCCCUGCACGCUCUCAGAUGGGGUCUGGAGGGCAAGAGCAAGGUGCCCGCGGCACUGUGUGGUUCUAGGCCUCAGGGGCCAUAGCAGGUCUCGGUCCAGGGUGGGAGCAGAGACGGUUUCCUUCUUCUCCGAGUCACUGACCGAAGAGGAGGAAGUGCAGGAUUGGUCCACCUGCAACAUCUGCAACAUCCCAGAGACUACUCAAGGCCUGCCGAGCUGCUGCUGAGCCCUGGCGCAGGCCAUGUCGGGAGCCUCACUGCGGGACCAGGCCUUCCCACCCCAGCCGCAGCGGCUCCCCUCGGCGCUUGAAUGUAGCGUAAAAGGACACAGAGACGGGACCUCUGAGAGGAGCCAGGUGGGCUCCAGGCAGGGGCCAGGCAUCAGAGAGGAAGGGACACUGGUUACCUUCAGCAGGUGGGUGGUGCCCACCAUCUCUGCAGCCUUGGACAAUGACAGAAACGGUCAGACAAGCCAGCAACACAUGUGGCUUUCUUCUGGGUCACCAGGGAAGGAAAUGGAAAGUUGCCUUUGACCCUCUCCUUCUCAAGUGGGAACUAGGUUUCCUUGGAGGGGACUGCAGAGCCCAGACUGUGGGCAGCUGGCAGGACACCCGAGCCACCUUGUCUGGCACCACCUCCCCCUGGCCGUCUCAGCGCUCCCUGCCCCUCAGUCCUCCUUGGGCGGUGGCGGAGUGCCAGGAGCUUAUGUAGUGGUGUUCGCUGGGUUUGCUCUGCUGCCUACACUGGUGAUGCACGCAGAGUGUCCCUCACUAGACAGGGACCACAGCAGAGUAUCACUAGGAGGUUGAACUACAAAGCAUCGCCCCCCUUCCCCCUCACCCUGGAGCCAUCUGUGUGUCUUUACUACCCCAGGCACAGUGCUGCUGGGGACUUCUGUCCCCGUCCACAGGGCUCGCUUUGGGGCUGGCACUCGGCAUGCCAUGGAGCCACCGCCUGUCAGACCGGGAACCGGCCCCGUGGCUCAGCAACAGCAUGUCCAUCCCCAGCUCGGAGCAGAACAGAACCAAAGUUAAGAGAGCGACAAGUGCCACAUGCACUGGGACCCGAAUCUGUGACAGCAAUGGGACCCAUAAGGAGGACCCCACUGUCUGCUGCAUCCUGCGGAAGCACGGUGACCAAGCUGGAGACAGGUGAUGCUUAUUGCCUAGGUGGCCUGACGGCCCUCGCUGUCUCUUGCACGGGGGCAGUACACUGUCGGCUGGACACAGGUCACUCUCCUCCUCCCUGGAGUGGAGUGAGGCUACACGGGCCACCUGAGAACUGGAUGAGCUUUCCCGUCAGGAUAGGAGAGAAGGCCCCAGGUGCUCCUGGAGGCCACCAGGAGGCCUGGAUCUCACAUGCCUGUGUGUGGGCACCCUGCCAACCCAUUUCCCUGCCAGGAUUGCUUCAGCAACAAAGUCCUACUGUUUGAGCCGCAGUGUGCUUUGGGGUCUAUUCAGUACAGAACUAGCAUUACGCUACUACAAUCACUACAUGGACAUCACACACUUAUUCUACAGCUGCAGUUUUACUCGCCGAGAGAAUGUCCUGGAGCCUCAAGAUUCUGGAUUUUCAUCACCAAAAUGUUAGGCCGACAGCACUGUGAGGGAGCUGCUCAUGCUGAGUGUGCUGUGAAGGGCUCAGAGAUUCCUGGUGACCCCGGCGCCAGCUGGGCUCCAAGUCCUGGCCCCUGUGGGGUUCCCCAACUGCAUGGCCAGAGACUACAGGGUCACAAACUGGACCAGAGGCCUCACCUAGCUGCAGCCUGCUUUGGGAUAGCCCUUGAACUAAAUACUUUGCUUUUCUUAAACACCUUUAAAAACAAACGAGGACCAAGGGACAUAAAAAGAAUUAAGAUGUGUUACAUACAUGUACCAACCCCCACAGUGUCAGCAUUAAUGCCCACAAACAUGUACUGAUAAAAAUAAAAGUUAAAAAUAACUAAUUAAAAACAUGCAACACAGAUGAUACACAGCCUACAAACACUAAAAUAUGUGCUACCUGGUCCUGCCUCUGAGUUGCUGGAGGAUUACAGAGAGCCAGUGUCUGGCUCCAAGUUCACACACAGUACAAAGACAUACAAUAUAGACAUCAGCGCCUGCUGAGAGUCAUGUAGCCAAAUCCUGCACUUUGUCCAAGUGAACAUUUUCUUGUUCCUUCCUAAAAGUCAAAACAAAACAAAAAACAUGAAGAGCUACAUUUGGAUUAGUAUGGCCUCAGAUACUUUUAAAAUUAAAAACUUAUAGUCUCAUAAAAAGUCUAAUUUCUCCUAUUUGAAGCUCAGACUAAGAAAAAGAAGGCUGAAGAAGGCCUGGGCCCUGGCGGGCUGGUUCAGUUUAGUGUGUUAGGACAGAUCAAAUCAUUUCAGGGUGAGCACCAGGCUAAGCAGUAUGAAAUGUAGGGCCGAGCUGACAACAGUGCUGCAAGCUGCUGUCUCCAUCACGAUCCUGCUGUGUCAGUGCACUUGCAAAGGCCUGCGGGAUCUUAGGUGGAGAGAAAGCAGGCCUCUCAGAGUCCGAGCGAGUGCGCAGACCAUGGUCGCGAACACGGCAGUGGGGACAGCAGGUCUGAUUUUGGGCAGGCCAGCUUUGGACAUCUUCUGAGAGACAGCUCUCCAAAGUGGAUCUGCAAACAGCAGCCCUCGGGGUGCCACGCAUGUCACGGGAGGACAGUUCCAGAGCCUACUAAGGAAGUCUAGGCCCACCCUCCUCUCCCCUUGGAAAGCCAUGAGCUCGGGUGUGAAACUUGGUGGAAACAGUGCUCCAGGAAAUGGCUCGCCGGGCGGAGGCAGCCCUCAGCUCUGCCUCUGCAGCACAGGCGUGCUGGCUGGUACUCUGGACACACUGCUGGGCACAGCUGUGCGGGUCCACAGUGACAAACCACGCCUCAGACCUGGCUUUGCCUCCAGCACCCGCGGCUCUUCCAUGUAUUUCCAUAUAAUUAAAAAGGUGCCACUUCUGCAGCAACCAGCCACUGAGAUUGUUAGAACUCAUAAAGUCACUAUCUGGCAAGGAAACUGCAGUACAAAGGUACGCUGCUCACUCACUAAUGUUGAGAAAAAUUCAGUGGAACAAAUCUUUCAAACUUAGAUCAGAAGAGCAAUGAGAGAUCUUUCCCUCACUGUGGAGGGGCUUUUUGUUCUGAGACGAAACUGGGCAGGCUGUUUGCAUGGUUUCUCUGGAUAAGUUCCAUUUAUUAAUCAUUGUACAAAAAAAAAAUCUUGGCAUUCAUUUGAAGAGAAAGAAGUUACUAUAUCCAAAUAUUUUAAUAUUUUAACAUUGUGAAAGUUCUACUUUUCUAACAGGGCUUUUUCAAAUGGAGAAAACUUUUGGAAAAAUUUUUUAAAAA